RNAcentral lists this small RNA (28 nucleotides) under Bombyx mori (domestic silkworm). Its description in RNAcentral is "ovarian small RNA-12380". Lineage: Eukaryota; Metazoa; Arthropoda; Insecta; Lepidoptera; Bombycidae. The record is from RNAcentral.
AUAUAAACUUCAGCAGUGCCAUAAGGGU